UUUUUCAUUAAUAUUUUUGAUGCACGCAAGAAACAUGACACACGUGUGCCGUAAAUAUUGAACGCACGUGCGCGGUCAAUAUUAAACGUAGUUUCUUCUUUUUGACGUUUGCGAGAGUUGCAGCUUGUGGAUCGAUAUUGAUGCGUGUAGGGGCGGCGUUAUGAUGGGGGAGGCACCGCUUUCUGAAAUCGUUCGACGGAUGUGAAAACUCGUGACGACGUGGCGACGGAGAGGGAGGGGUGAAAACCGGGUAAACAUGGGAACGGUUGUUUAGGUGGAGAGAAAGUAGUAUGGUGAAGUAUCCAACGGUGACAAGGAAUGUACAGUAGAGUUUGUAGUAGAGCUAGGAGGGGCGAGCAUAAGUGACGAAGGGAUAAGAAACAAGUUGGAUGCAAUCAUACCAGCACUAAAGCACCGGAUCCCAUCAGAACUCCGAAGUUAGGCGUGCUUGGGCGAGAGUAGUACUAGGAUGGGUGACCUCCUGGGACGUCCUCGUGUUGCAUUCCC
This 507-nucleotide ribosomal RNA is filed under the name Hordeum marinum (seaside barley). The record is from RNAcentral. Lineage: Eukaryota; Viridiplantae; Streptophyta; Magnoliopsida; Poales; Poaceae.